This 726-nucleotide ribosomal RNA is filed under the name Bacillus cereus. Its description in RNAcentral is "bacterial SSU rRNA". It matches the Rfam family "Bacterial small subunit ribosomal RNA", at positions 35 to 741 of the family's 1533-position model. Lineage: Bacteria; Bacillati; Bacillota; Bacilli; Caryophanales; Bacillaceae. The record is from RNAcentral.
GAUGGUAGCGAGUCAAAUACAUACAUGCCCUGCGAGUGCAUUAAGAGCUUGCUCUUAUGAAGUUAGCGGCGGACGGGUGAGUAACACGUGGGUAACCUGCCCAUAAGACUGGGAUAACUCCGGGAAACCGGGGCUAAUACCGGAUAACAUUUUGAACCGCAUGGUUCGAAAUUGAAAGGCGGCUUCGGCUGUCACUUAUGGAUGGACCCGCGUCGCAUUAGCUAGUUGGUGAGGUAACGGCUCACCAAGGCAACGAUGCGUAGCCGACCUGAGAGGGUGAUCGGCCACACUGGGACUGAGACACGGCCCAGACUCCUACGGGAGGCAGCAGUAGGGAAUCUUCCGCAAUGGACGAAAGUCUGACGGAGCAACGCCGCGUGAGUGAUGAAGGCUUUCGGGUCGUAAAACUCUGUUGUUAGGGAAGAACAAGUGCUAGUUGAAUAAGCUGGCACCUUGACGGUACCUAACCAGAAAGCCACGGCUAACUACGUGCCAGCAGCCGCGGUAAUACGUAGGUGGCAAGCGUUAUCCGGAAUUAUUGGGCGUAAAGCGCGCGCAGGUGGUUUCUUAAGUCUGAUGUGAAAGCCCACGGCUCAACCGUGGAGGGUCAUUGGAAACUGGGAGACUUGAGUGCAGAAGAGGAAAGUGGAAUUCCAUGUGUAGCGGUGAAAUGCGUAGAGAUAUGGAGGAACACCAGUGGCGAAGGCGACUUUCUGUAGUGUAACC